This 581-nucleotide long non-coding RNA is filed under the name Amborella trichopoda. Its description in RNAcentral is "long non-coding RNA (ATRI_LNC001238)". Lineage: Eukaryota; Viridiplantae; Streptophyta; Magnoliopsida; Amborellales; Amborellaceae. The record is from RNAcentral.
GUGGUUUACUGGCUGAUUAGACUCCGAUGAACUAUCGAUUGAUUGAGCGAUAGAUUUGAUAGUCGACUUCUCAAUCCUUUCCUGAUUGAUGGAAUCAAUAGUUGCCUCAUAACUACUCUCGAUGAAUUGAGGAAAUGCCAUUCUGGAUUUCUCAAUUCUAAUCAAAUACGGUUAGAAUUCUAGACUUCCUCGUAGUUUACUCAGACUAGCUUAUGUAUGGAUUAAUGAUUGACAUAAGUUAGGUGGCGGAACUCUUUAUUGAUGACUCGUGAUUGACUACUUAGUGUACUCGGAUUACUCUGACGAAUAAGACUCGGAGUAAAGAUCACCUCUUUCCUCAACUUGCCUUAUCUUAUCAUAUGUGACCUUCUCAUCUUAACAUAUAUAGAUGAAACCCAGGAUUAAACACAAGAGGAAACCGUUGGAAUUCAAUAGUCAAUCAAGCUCAGAAGAAUAUUUAAGAAAGUGCUAGAAGAGAAAAGCUGCAUCAGUAGAUGAAUGGUCCACUCUCAGUUAGCUCAGCCUGCACCCCCUUAGAAUAAGAGAAUAGUGAAUUAACAAGAAGUCUACCUUUUUUUUUG